CAAAGAUUUAUCGGUAAAGGAUGGGGAUGCGUCCGAUUAGCUUGUUGGCGGGGUAACGGCCCACCAAGGCAUCGAUCGGUAGGGGUUCUGAGAGGAAGGUCCCCCACACUGGAACUGAGACACGGUCCAGACUCCUACGGGAGGCAGCAGUGAGGAAUAUUGGUCAAUGGCCGUAAGGCUGAACCAGCCAAGUAGCGUGAGGGAAGACUGCCCUAUGGGUUGUAAACCUCUUUUAUGCGGGGAUAAAGGUGUCCACGUGUGGAUGUUUGCAGGUACCGCAUGAAUAAGGACCGGCUAAUUCCGUGCCAGCAGCCGCGGUAAUACGGAAGGUCCGGGCGUUAUCCGGAUUUAUUGGGUUUAAAGGGAGCGUAGGCCGGUCUUUAAGCGUGCCGUGAAAUUUUGUGGCUCAACCAUGAGAGUGCGGCGCGAACUGGAGACCUUGAGUGCGCGGAAGGCAGGCGGAAUUCGUGGUGUAGCGGUGAAAUGCUUAGAUAUCACGAAGAACCCCGAUUGCGAAGGCAGCCUGCCGCAGCGUUACUGACGCUGAGGCUCGAAAGCGCGGGUAUCGAACAGGAUUAGAUACCCUGGUAGUCCGCGCGGUAAACGAUGGAUGCCCGCUGUCGGCGAUAUACAGUCG
Molecule: ribosomal RNA, 637 nt
Filed under: uncultured bacterium
Lineage: Bacteria
Description: bacterial SSU rRNA
Rfam family: Bacterial small subunit ribosomal RNA
Source: RNAcentral